UACGUAGGCAGCAAGCGUUGUUCGGAGUUACUGGGCGUAAAGGGUGUGUAGGCGGUUCCUUAAGUUUGCUGUGAAAUCUCCCGGCUUAACCGGGAGGGUGCGGUGAAUACUGAGGGACUAGAGUACGGGAGAGGAAAGUGGAAUUCCUGGUGUAGCGGUGAAAUGCGUAGAUAUCUGGAGGAACACCGGUGGCGAAGGCGGCAUCCUGGACCGGCAUUGACGCUGAGGCGCGAAAGCCAGGGGAGCAAACGGG
Molecule: ribosomal RNA, 253 nt
Filed under: uncultured bacterium
Lineage: Bacteria
Description: partial 16S ribosomal RNA
Rfam family: Bacterial small subunit ribosomal RNA
Source: RNAcentral